AUUGAACGCUGGCGGCAUGCCUUACACAUGCAAGUCGAACGGUAACGGGCCUUCGGGUGCCGACGAGUGGCGAACGGGUGAGUAAUACAUCGGAACGUGCCCGAUCGUGGGGGAUAACGAGGCGAAAGCUUUGCUAAUACAGCAUACGAUCUACGGAUGAAAGCAGGGGACCGCAAGGCCUUGCGCGGACGGAGCGGCCGAUGGCAGAUUAGGUAGUUGGUGGGAUAAAAGCUUACCAAGCCGACGAUCUGUAGCUGGUCUGAGAGGAUGAUCAGCCACACUGGGACUGAGACACGGCCCAGACUCCUACGGGAGGCAGCAGUGGGGAAUUUUGGACAAUGGGCGCAAGCCUGAUCCAGCCAUGCCGCGUGCAGGAUGAAGGCCUUCGGGUUGUAAACUGCUUUUGUACGGAACGAAAAGCCUUCUUUUAAUACAGGAGGGUCAUGACGGUACCGUAAGAAUAAGCACCGGCUAACUACGUG
RNAcentral lists this ribosomal RNA (482 nucleotides) under uncultured bacterium. RNAcentral describes it as "partial 16S ribosomal RNA". It matches the Rfam family "Bacterial small subunit ribosomal RNA", at positions 30 to 507 of the family's 1533-position model. The record is from RNAcentral.